GGAAGGAUCAUUAAUCACGUUCUUGUAACGUUAUUUUCUAACAACAAUUGUGCAUGCAUGUUUUCUCUUCUCCCUUUUUCCUCUCUUUUGAGUGGGUAAAAAGGCAUACUCAGCUUCUUCUGUGCUUCAACACAUAGAAGGAGUGUUCGAGUCUCUCUCCUUGUGAGGGACGAUUCGACUGAUUUCCAUAUACACACCUUCUUCACCUCCACUUUUGCUAGUUGAUUUUUUACGUUCAACUCUGUAUGUCCUUGAUUGGAUAUAUCCAGUUGUUCUGUUAUUAUUUAUUAUAACAUUAAUUAUACAACUCUUAGCAAUGGAUAUCUAGGUUCUCGCAACGAUGAAGAACGCAGCGAAAUGCGAUACGUAAUGCGAAUUGCAGAAUUCAGUGAAUCAUCAAAUCUUUGAACGCAAAUUGCGCUCUUGGGAUAGACCUAGGAGCACGCCUCUCUCAGUAUCGGUUCAUACUCUAACUCAGUCACCUUUGGUUUUAACUAUAAGUAGACUGGACAAUGAGAGUCUUCUAGUCUUGAUCUAGAAGUCUCUUUAAAUACAUGGAAACGAGAUGUGUUGAAUAUAAGUGAUCUAUAUUAUCUAUAUAGAUCCAACUUCAGAAAUGAUGACCUUCAUAGGUCAGGUAACUCGGUACGAAGUAUAAGUAAAUCUUACUAUGUAUGACUAACGCUUCUACGUGAAUAUUGACCUCAUGGUCUUCUCUUACGUAUGAAGUAUUGGUACUUACAGGUGUGCUGCACUUAUACAUAUAUUCGUUCUAGGAUAUACCGUUUGUUUCUGGAAGGUAAAAACACUUUCACUUCGUUGUGUCGUGAUAGCUGUCGAUAGCAUGUCACCAUGAACUUGCUUACAUUUGUAAGUCGUUCUGUUCUUUAUGUUUUAUGAUCUGAGAUGAAGCGAGACAACCCCCUGAAUUUAAGCAUAUUAAUAAGGGGAGGAAAAGAAAAUAACAAUAAUGCCCUUAGUAACGGCGAGUGAAGUGGGCACAGCUCAAUCUGAAAAUCGAUUACCUAAAUGGGUCAUCGAGUUGUAUCCUAUAGACGUACUAUCAGCUAUAACCUGGGUAUAAGUUCUUUGGAAUGAGGCCAAAUAUAGGGUGAGAUGCCCGUAUAUGACUCAAAGUGUAUAUAGCGUACGAUGUAUGUUCUUCGAGUCGAGUUGUUUGGGAUUGCAGCUCUAAAUGGGUGGUAAGAAUCAUCUAAAGCUAAAUAUUAGCGAGAGACCGAUAGCGAACAAGUACCGUGAGGGAAAGAUGAAAAGAACUUUGGAAAGAGAGUCAAAUAGUACUUGAAAUUGCUAAGAGGGAAGCGAUGAAAACUAGUGAACAUAGGGGAUUAAUCGUUCAUUGCCGCUCUAAAUCUGCUGUCUAGUUGGUUAACUCUAGUAGGUAGAUUGAAAGGUAGGUAACGGAUUUAUAAUUCUCUAUACGUCAAGAUCAAUUUGAUUCGUGGGAGAAGAUAGUAAGAAAGGUAGGAGCUUGUUCUCUGUUAAGUCUUAUUAUUCUACCUCGUAUUGGAUUGAGGAAGUAAUAGUGCGCUGCUUGCGGCUUAAUUCUCUGCUGCUAUACUUUGCACGGUUUAGAUAGCAAUGCUAUGUAGGCUGAAACAACGGUAUACUCAGUAGGUGAAUUUUAUGUGCUAUCACGAUCUUGUACAAAAUAGUUUUCAUCGACCCGUCUUGAAACACGGACCAAGGAGUAACAAAUAAAUGAAGUAAGCUCCUUCAAAGCUUUGAAUACAAAGCUGUUUGAUUCUGUUAAAAUGAAUCAACAAUACCAUCGAAUUGUGGGGAUGAUUCAUAUGGACAAUAUACACUUACACUGAACUGUUCAGUCUAUUCCUCUGAAAAUAGGAAGUCCUUGUAUAUUCAUGCGUUCUAAUCUAAUCCACAGCUAACCUGAUACUCUGUGUCUGGGAAGUUUAGAGACUAAGUGGUGGUAGUGUCAUAUAAUGACAUUAAGAUAUAGUCCUCCUUUGAUAUGUCUAAUUUAAAUAAAUUAAAUUAAAUGUGUGUACAAGGAGUCUAACAUCUAUGCAAGUAUUUGAGUGAUUAAAACUCUGAUGCGUAAUGAAAGUAAAGGUAGACUUGUUCUACUAAGGUAGGAAACUUUGUAACAGGAGUGGCACUAUCGACCGAUCAUCACUUGUGAAAGAUUUGAGUAAGAGCAUAUCUGUUGGGACCCGAAAGAUGGUGAUCUAUGCCUGAACAGGGUGAAGCCAGGAGAAAUUCUGGUGGAGGCUCGUAGCGAUACUGACGUGCAAAUCGUUCGUCUGAUUUGGGUAUAGGGGCGAAAGACUAAUCGAACCAUCUAGUAGCUGGUUCCCUC
This 2341-nucleotide unclassified non-coding RNA is filed under the name uncultured fungus. Its description in RNAcentral is "sequence contains 18S rRNA gene, ITS1, 5.8S rRNA gene, ITS2, 28S rRNA gene". The stretch from base 898 to 2341 matches the Rfam family "Eukaryotic large subunit ribosomal RNA", at positions 1 to 961 of the family's 3401-position model. Lineage: Eukaryota; Fungi. The record is from RNAcentral.